CAAGUGGGUGCGAUCCACGAUUAAAAUAAUCGUGGACCUCACCUUUGUAACAGGAGUGUGAAAAUUGAUGUGAAAAAAAGAUGUACAAAUAGGAUAAUUGAAUUUUAUUCAGCCCGUUUAAGCAAAAGAUUCAAAACAUUGCACUAUACCCGAAUCCCCUACCCAAACCACCCAAGCCCACAACUCAAAGUCGAUCUUCUCUGGGCUUCAUCUCACCAUUAAGGACUUUGUGUCUACGUUUCCUGGUUUGAUCCACCCGUGCAUCCAAUAGAACAAACUUUAAUACUUGGAUUGCUGCGGAGAAUUGUAGAGAUAAAUUCACCUAAUAGACAAUUGACAAACACAAAUUGAGCAACCUAUCAAGUAAAUAAUGGAAUUAAUCUAAGUAUAACUAUCAAAGCUCCAAGAUUUGGCAUCAAAAUGGAUGGAUCAGGGCUCAUAUCAAGAGCCAAAAACCACGAGGGAACACCACACAAAUUGGACCAAAAUAACCCACUCAAAUAAACCACAAGAAUACUCAAAACUGGCCAAAAAAGCCUUGCACAAAAGGAAGCAGGAAAAGGGACUUAAAUAGGGACUAAAAUCGUACACGGCAAAGGCACAAAAACAAGUUCCAAAUCACUAGAACAGACGGUCAGUGGGAGCAGCAAAAGACGACCCACAAAUGGGCAAGAGACAGAGAUAAAAAGUCACGAAGAGAAGCAG
Molecule: long non-coding RNA, 705 nt
Filed under: Olea europaea (common olive)
Lineage: Eukaryota; Viridiplantae; Streptophyta; Magnoliopsida; Lamiales; Oleaceae
Description: long non-coding RNA (OEUR_LNC002075)
Source: RNAcentral